AGAGUUUGAUCCUGGCUCAGAACGAACGUUGGCGGCGUGGAUUAGGCAUGCAAGUCGAGCGGGAUCAAUUUGUUUCAAUCNUUCGGGAAAGAAACUUAUUGUGAGAGCGGCGAACGGGUGAGUAAUAUAUGGGUAAUUUACCUCUUUGUUUGGGAUAGCCAUCGGAAACGAUGAUUAAUACCGGAUGUGUUCAGAAACUGCAUAGUUUCUUAUAUAAAGGCGGGGAUCUUCGGACCUGUCGCAAAGAGAUAAGCCCAUAUCCUAUCAGCUUGUUGGUGAGGUAAUGGCUCACCAAGGCUUACGGGUAGCUGGUCUGAGAGGAUGGUCAGCCACACUGGGACUGAGACACUGCCCAGACUCCUACGGGAGGCUGCAGUCGAGAAUCAUUGUCAAUGCACGAAAGUGUGAACAUGCAACGCCGCGUGGAGGAUGACGGCCUUAGGGUUGUAAACUCCUGUCAGCAGGAAGGAAUAAUUAAAUAAUUAAUACCUAUUUAAUUUGACAGUACCUGCAGAGGAAGUCACGGCUAACUCUGUGCCAGCAGCCGCGGUAAUACAGAGGUGGCGAACGUUGUUCGGAUUUACUGGGCGUAAAGGGUCCGUAGGCGGUCUAGUGUGUCGGAUGUGAAAGCUCACAGCUCAACUGUGGAAUUGCAUUCGAAACUGCUAGACUAGAGUACUGGAGGGGUGAAGGGAACACUUGGUGUAGCGGUGAAAUGCGUAGAUAUCAAGUGGAACACCGGAGGCGAAGGCGCUUCACUGGACAGAUACUGACGCUCAUGGACGAAAGUUAGGGUAGCGAAAGGGAUUAGAUACCCCUGUAGUCCUAACCGUAAACGGUGU
RNAcentral lists this ribosomal RNA (842 nucleotides) under metagenome. RNAcentral's name for it is "bacterial SSU rRNA". It matches the Rfam family "Bacterial small subunit ribosomal RNA", at positions 8 to 812 of the family's 1533-position model. The record is from RNAcentral.